AUGUCGCAGCAGCGAUCCGAUUUCCGCAUCUGCAACCCGACCACCCGCAAGUGUGCUUCCCUGCCACAUCCCCCGUCACGACCAGGCUCCAGGUUUGUCGACGUAGUUGGCUUCUACCAGCACACCACAUCUGGAGAACACCGGGUGCUCUGGGUGUCAGUCCCGAUACCCGUCAUUAGAGCAAUUAGAGCGACUGGUCCUCAGGGGGCAGACAUGGCAAUUGAGUUGCCCGAUUACUUGGUCCUCACCGUGGGAUCGGACCAGCCAAGAUGCAUCCAGUGGCCGACUAUUUCAAAACAAGAGUUUCCUGAUAUCCGGUCCUCCAGAAAUCCACCAGUCCACCAUCGUGGUAGCCUGCACUGGGCAAUGGGUAUCAAUAUAACUGUAUUUGACACCAUAGCUGAGACGUUCCGGCGGAUGAGCUGCCCGGCACGGUUGGAGAACACCCAUAUGUGGUCGCCUGACUCAUUGUCGGAUAUGGGCGGCACCCUUGCUUUGUGCCGCUCCGCCCCUGACUGCGUCACUUUUGAUAUUUGGGUGUUGCAGGACUAUGAUGCCGAGACCUGGGGCUUUCAAUAUCAGAUUAACUUGUUAGCAAUGGAGGUAUCGCCACCGAUUGAUUUGGGCAUCAUGCUUGUCCCUAUGACCACCCUGAUCAAUGAGCGUGAGCUGUUGAUCCAGCAGCGUCUUAGCCGUUUGUUGCAUUGUGAAAUUGACGGUGUGUCUUUAAGAGAUGUGGAAAGUGAAGAGCAUGAAUACCACCUGCUGCCACUUACUACCCAUUGCCUCCAAGAGAGCAUGAUUUCACUUCCAUUGUUUGAGACGCAAGAAAAUGCUGUGAACAAGGAGGCUCCAUUCGUCAUAGUGCUAUAA
Molecule: ribosomal RNA, 873 nt
Filed under: Triticum aestivum (bread wheat)
Lineage: Eukaryota; Viridiplantae; Streptophyta; Magnoliopsida; Poales; Poaceae
Description: partial small subunit ribosomal RNA
Source: RNAcentral